AUAAUUCAUAAUUUGCCUUUAGAAGGCAAUAGGAAAAAACUCAAUACAGAGAAAAUAUAUAAAGUUGGCACAACUCGGUGCGUGGGAGCAAUUCUGAACACAAAUCUAAAUUUCUGUGAAUGGACAUUUGAAUAUUCUUUUGUACUAUUCUUGGGCAAUGGCAGCUCAAAGUUGACAUUUUAAGUGCCGCGUGUGGCCGGCUUUGUUUUUCCCAAAAUAUAGUUUGUGUAAUGAAGUUAUUACGAGUCUUAAUGCUGAAAUUUAUGCGCAGCCAUUAAAAAUCGAAAGACACGUUUUUUGAAUAUUUUAGCUUUUUGCCGUCGCCGUCGUAUAAAUUAGGCGACGUGACUUGUGUGUGUGCGCUCGAAGAUAACGAACCGCAUUCACAGGGGGUGUGCGGGCAUCUGGCAACUGGCAACUGGUAAGCGGUGAGCGGUGAGUGUCCAGCCUAUUAUCGGGCAUUAUAUCGCAGAAUUUACAAUGCAAAUUCCAAGCUCUGGCUUAAUCGAAGUGUGCAAAAUGGAGUCCAAGACAAAGGGUCGCCGCUGCACUCCACCGAGUCACCGAUGAUGAUGGCAACCGUGAGGAUAGAGGCGUGCGAUCAGUAGUGGUUGCUCUUGAUAUUGCCAUUGGUGGAUGUUGUUUUUGAUUCAGCUGCGCUUGCCACAACUCGUGGAGUGGUUUGUGCGAGCUUCAAGAGCAGCAAGUUAUCCGCGGCAAGCAAGAACUUUGUUGCAGCUACACGCAAUCCGAUUUCACGACUACUAUUGCCAUAGCCUUAAAAAACGAAACCGCAUUGCCGUCGUACUGGCAACGUGUGUAGCCCCAACUGGUAGCCCCAAUAGUGGUAAAAACAGCGUGGAUUGGAAUCUUGUGGUCCAAUGCAUAUGAAAGAGGCCGUGAUUGCGAGCUUGGGGCCCCAGGUCGCCCUGUCUUAGCGGCCAUUGCGAUUGCCUUGUAAGACAGACAGACAGAGAUACAGACAGAUGCUAGAGAGAGAGGCCGUAAAACAAACGUCAAAAUAAUUAAAAUAUAUCCAUGCCUUUCGAAACAAUCCGCAACACAAA
Long non-coding RNA from Drosophila virilis, 1067 nucleotides. RefSeq lists it as uncharacterized. Lineage: Eukaryota; Metazoa; Arthropoda; Insecta; Diptera; Drosophilidae. The record is from RefSeq and is a predicted model, not a curated record.